This is a non-coding RNA of Alosa alosa (allis shad), 384 nucleotides long. The record is from the annotation of a RefSeq genome assembly. NCBI's taxonomy places the organism in Eukaryota, Metazoa, Chordata, Actinopteri, Clupeiformes, Clupeidae.
AUGACUGUGAGCACCAACACAGAAUACUGUACAUUCCUCAUGGAGACAUCACUGCUCUUCAUCCUCAUAAUGGCAGCAGGUAUAACUGCCGACACAAUUUAUCCUGUACAAGAUCAUUUUACCAAGACUGAAGAUGAAGCUGUCUGGCUGAAAUGCUCUUAUGAAACAAGCUACAUCACUGCUGAUCUUUACUGGUACAGGCAGUAUCCUUACCAAGCACCAGUAUUUUUGUUAUGGAAACGAGGGAAAGGUGCCUCAGAUAAGCUCAUCCCCGAUGAUCGAUUUGAUUCCAAAACCUCAGAAACAUCCACUGAUCUCCAUAUUAAACGUCUGACUCUGGCAGACACAGGCCUCUAUUACUGUGCUCUGUUGGUCGCCCAGUGA